Molecule: ribosomal RNA, 253 nt
Filed under: uncultured bacterium
Lineage: Bacteria
Description: partial 16S ribosomal RNA
Rfam family: Bacterial small subunit ribosomal RNA
Source: RNAcentral
UACGGAGGGUGCAAACGUUGCUCGGAAUCAUUGGGCGUAAAGCGCACGUAGGCGGACUGUUAAGUCGGAUGUGAAAGCCCUCGGCUUAACCGAGGAAGUGCAUUCGAAACUGGCAGUCUUGAGUACAGAAGAGGGUCGCGGAAUUCCCGGUGUAGAGGUGAAAUUCGUAGAUAUCGGGAGGAACACCAGUGGCGAAGGCGGCGACCUGGGCCAAUACUGACGCUGAGGUGCGAAAGCUAGGGGAGCAAACGGG